UGGGGAAUAUUGCACAAUGGAGGGAACUCUGAUGCAGCAACGCCGCGUGCGGGAUGACGGCCUUCGGGUUGUAAACCGCUUUCAGCCAUGACGAAGCUUUUGUGACGGUAGUGGUAGAAGAAGCACCGGCUAACUACGUGCCAGCAGCCGCGGUGAUACGUAGGGUGCGAGCGUUGUCCGGAAUUAUUGGGCGUAAAGAGCUUGUAGGCGGUUUGUCGCGUCGAUAGUGUAAACACGCAGCUUAACUGUGUGCCUGCUGUCGAUACGGGCUGACUAGAGGAGGGUAGGGGAGAUUGGAAUUCCCGGUGGAGCGGUGGAAUGCGCAGAUAUCGGGAGGAACACCAGUGGCGAAGGCGGUUCUCUGGACCUUUCCUGACGCUGAGAAGCGAAAGCGUGGGUAGCAAACAGG
Molecule: ribosomal RNA, 409 nt
Filed under: Fusobacteriota bacterium
Lineage: Bacteria; Fusobacteriati; Fusobacteriota
Description: Fusobacteria bacterium partial 16S ribosomal RNA
Rfam family: Bacterial small subunit ribosomal RNA
Source: RNAcentral